Molecule: non-coding RNA, 775 nt
Organism: Nothobranchius furzeri (turquoise killifish)
Lineage: Eukaryota; Metazoa; Chordata; Actinopteri; Cyprinodontiformes; Nothobranchiidae
Source: RefSeq, a predicted model, not a curated record
ACUAGAGCUGAAACAACUAAUCGAUUUAAUCGAUUAUAAUCGAUUAUUAAAAUAGUUAACAACUUUUUUAGUCAUCGAUUAGUUGUUUAAUAAUCAUAUUUUACCGCAUAAAGUCUAUUUUUACCACAAUCUGACAUCGGUUACAAGCUGUUAAAUUUGCCGCCAGUGUGUGGCAGUAAUGAGCCACUGAUCUACCAGUGGAGCCGUAGAAGAAGAAAUGAGCCAAUGAGUGCCCUCGGUUUUCAUGACGUAUCACGUUACUGACGCUCAUCUUGCUGUGAGAGAUGGCGGAACAAGAGGAAAUACGGAAGAAAAAUAGAAGCGACAAAAUUUUAGAGAAACCCCGGACAAAAACCUCACGAGUAUGGGAGCACUUCACUAGAUGCAUUGAAAAGGCAAAAUAUGCAAAAACCAUCUAGCAUGGCACGGAAGCACGACGUCCCUAAGUGAACAUUUGAGACGAAAACGUGGGGGCUGAGGAAGAGCACCGCGGUCAAGUGAGCCGUCAUUUGGAAGAGCCAGCCCGAAAAAAAACAAGCAACGAUGGACAACUACAUGGGGAAAGAGACACUCACCCCCCAGCAAUUCAUACCACUUACAAACUCUAUUCUAAACAUGCUGGUAAAAGACAUGAGGCCACUAUCCAUGGUGGAAGGAGCAGGCUUCCAGCUAAUGCUAAAAAAUUAUUCUGGACUGAUAUUUUGCACUGUUUAGCUCAUUUUAUACUGCUGACUGUGUUCAUGUGCAAUAAAAUAGAUUGCAGUCAACUGCACAA